UGGCCAAACGAUGGAGCCAUAAAAUUAAAAAGUGAAGUGUGAUAAUUUUAGGACUAAUAGUCGACCUAUCUCUUUACUAUAAAACUUCGAACAACUCCAUGGAAAAGAUGAAACACUACACUUUGCGUGGCCCGACACGCACUUGGCCAGUUAAUUCGUUUAAUUUGCCUACCGGCCGGUGCAGAGUACAGCACUGUAUGUUAGGUACACAAAAGCUUUGCCGCCUUUUGCUAUGUCGAUUAAAACGUUUAUUUUCAUUCAUUAUGUAAACAUUCGUUUGUGAAAAUAUACAGUGCCGAAAUACACAUAAAAACUUCGAAAACUAUGGGAUACGCUUCACGCUGUAAAAUUUUCGAGCCAGUAAACGGUCGAAAGAAGCUCGGAACACUUCACACGUAAAGUCUUAUUAAAAUAUGAACUUCAUACAGGAUAAUCCACAAAAUCCUUCCUUUUUUCUUUAAACUCGCACCAUGAUUGCGUAGAAGUUAUUUUUGGUCGUAAAUCUGAAACAAUAUUAAAAAUUAGCGUUUUUUGCCUCAAUUGGCAAUGUUUGUGUACCUUAGUUGUACCAGUAGCGCCAUCUGCGCUGAGCUUUGCGUAAUAUGCCCCCCUAUUAUACCUAGUUAAAUUUUGGCCACCGAAAUUGCUUUGUUAGAGAUUUAGCUAUGGUAGGGGUCGCGGAGGAAGAGGAGUGUCAGUAGGUAGUAUGGUGCACCAGUCUCCCUAUCCUCGGCGACACGGCGCGGUCAUGGUACCUACUAGACAUGGUGAUGGUGUCGGCCAGCUAACAGAGUGAAUCUAUUAAGAGGAAACUAAGAACUCGGAGGUUUUUGGGGCUGUGUGGAAGACCGCUACAUGAUGUUGGUGAACCUGGCUGUGACGGAAGCUAAGGAAAUGCAGUAAAACAUCGGCAAGUAAAGUAUCAAUUUACUGUUAUGUAUCAGUACAUAUCUACAAUAAUAUCGAUAAAAACAUUUAUUUUCAGUAAACUUUGGUAUUGUUACUUAGCCGCUUCAUAUUGGAACUCUUCUGUAUUGAAAAUGUGAUGAAUGAAAAAUACUGAAUAUGCAUCUCGUGGCCCAAGGACCUAUGUAUACCUUACUUAUACUAAAUUGUACAUUUAAACGCCUUUGUGAUAGUAAUUACAUAUUAUACUUUUAUA
Long non-coding RNA from Plodia interpunctella (Indianmeal moth), 1162 nucleotides. RefSeq lists it as uncharacterized. The transcript is spliced from 2 exons. Lineage: Eukaryota; Metazoa; Arthropoda; Insecta; Lepidoptera; Pyralidae. The record is from RefSeq and is a predicted model, not a curated record.